AGUAGAGUGACUGAGGUUAAAGGUGUUAGAUUGUAAAUCUAUUAAGGGGAUGUUACCCCUCUACUA
This 66-nucleotide transfer RNA is filed under the name Glyptotermes sp. A TB-2014. RNAcentral describes it as "tRNA-Tyr". It matches the Rfam family "tRNA". Rfam says of the family: Transfer RNA (tRNA) molecules are approximately 80 nucleotides in length. The record is from RNAcentral. Lineage: Eukaryota; Metazoa; Arthropoda; Insecta; Blattodea; Kalotermitidae.